GAGCGUCUCUGGCAACGUGGCCACUUCAAAGCACUUUUUACAUACAUUAUUAUUUACAAAUUUUCACUUCUUGCUUUUAAGUAUCUUCAAGAUAUUUAUUACCUAUGUAACAAACUUGCGAUUUAAAUAGACUUUGACAAAUAAUUUAUUGUAUUUAAAUCAGGGUGUUCUUCUCAACCGGACCAGAAAACUGAGAAGUAAUUUUUCUAAAAAUGGAUUUAGACAACAAUCAUGACAACGAGAAUCCUCACCUGGCCGUUAAACUUCCGGAGAUUGCAACGAACAUUGUCACCUUCCUCCCCAAAUCGGACCUCAUCUCGUGCACUUUGAUCAACUCGGCGUGGGAACAAGAAGCUCGAAAACGUCUCCUUUUCCUAUCUCACUUUAUCCUCGACGCAGAAAAUGUCGCCCACCAUCAAGAAAUUUCUUCCGUCCGGGGAAACUCCGCCAGAAACAUUGGGGUCGUCGAAUUCCCCAAUUUAUCUCGGGAAGGCCCCUGUGGAAACUUUAUUUCUACCCAUGGCCACAAAGUGAAUCGAUUGGAGACUCGCCUACUCCCGCCAGAUGUCACGUGGCCCCAAUAUUUCGAAACCUUAUCAAACUCAUUCCCCAAUCUGACCUCGGUCGUAUUACUUAUCGACAAUCUGGAUAACACCGAUUCCCCCCAAAAUCGGGUGUUCUUCCCGAAGGUUAAAAACCUAGCAAUCUACACGCCCUGGAACUUCAUGAAACCCCAGGAAAUACUAAGUACCCAAUUGGCCCCCUUAUUUCCAAACCUUGUCACCCUUUUCUGCCAACGAAUUCGUCAAUCCGUAGUCGAAUCCUUUCUCCAUUUCUCCCCAAAUGUGACCUCCUUGAUCUUGAUCAAUGUCCCGUUAUUUGAUCCAAUCCGAGAAAACACUGUAAAGCUGACCCGGCUAGAAAUCGGACAUGACUACAUCCACACCCUUUUGCCAGCAGGUUUAACCGCCAUGCUGAAAAUGUCAUCAGGAACGCUAGAAACGUUGAGUUUAGCCCGGGUCGAAAAUAUUGAUCCCUCCAAGGUACGAAAUGACAAACGAUUACUCGUAUGUUUCCCUAUCUUGCCGAAAUUACGGGUUUUUGAAAUUGUCCACAAUGAUUUCUCGACAAAGCUUGAGGGUAAAGUAAGUCCGCAGGCGACACCCGCCAUAAAUCUGAAAUUUGAAAAGGGUAGUGCACAAACGAAGUUACCUUAUGCCGAACAGUUCCCGGUUCUGGAAACAUUACGGUUUUGGAAGGGCGCCUCUUCUCGAAAGGAGAAAUUGACAGAGCAGGAAUUUUUUGAGGGGGUUGUGUCGUUCUUGUACAAUUCUUUCCUGCAUUCGACGAACACGCCGUGUGAAAGUUUGCGAGAUUUAGCCAUUCCUUUGAAAGAAGAUCGUGACGAAAAGUUCAAGGUUUUCGACGUUUCGGAAUCUGCGGAAUCAAAGGAGGUCGACGUCCAGGGGGGUUUUGAGUGGAAGAAUGUCGGAGAAUUUUUGGAUCGAUUGGACGAUGUGUUCCCAAAUUUAGUACAUUUGUAUAAGGUGGAGGAUGAGAAGGAAUUGGGAACAGAGUAAGGAGGACGACUACAUUUCAAUUUUGUAAUGUCUAUUAGAAAGCGAAAAUGCCGCAAAAUAAUUUAAAUGAAACAGAGUUUAAGUACAAGUUGCUGAUGCAGAAGUUACGGCGUAGUUUAAAAUUACUUUGAAAGGAUUUUCAAGUAAAAUAUUUGUACGUUAUUUAAGUAUUUCAGUUUUUUUGCGUUCUUGAAAAAGUGUGUGUUUGGACUAGUUUUCGUAUGCAAUUAACACGAUUUGGGUUUGUUCCCUUCUGCAAUGCUCACCUUUUGGAGGUUGCAGGUUCAGCUGUAUUAAUUAACUUUUAAGUUUAUUUUUCAUUUAUUUUCCUUUUUGAAUAAAUCAAGUUAAAUAUUCUCCAUGUAA
Folsomia candida is the source of this 1946-nucleotide RNA transcript. RefSeq lists it as uncharacterized. The transcript is spliced from 4 exons. The record is from RefSeq and is a predicted model, not a curated record. NCBI's taxonomy places the organism in Eukaryota, Metazoa, Arthropoda, Collembola, Entomobryomorpha, Isotomidae.